Molecule: ribosomal RNA, 233 nt
Filed under: uncultured Anaerolineaceae bacterium
Lineage: Bacteria; Bacillati; Chloroflexota; Anaerolineae; Anaerolineales; Anaerolineaceae
Description: partial 16S ribosomal RNA
Rfam family: Bacterial small subunit ribosomal RNA
Source: RNAcentral
GCCGGUAAAAGCCGGAGGAAGGUGAGGAUGAUGUCAAGUCAGCAUGACCUUUAUAUCCAGGGCUACACACACGCUACAAUGGUCUGGUACCAAUGGGUAGCCAAGCCGCGAGGCGGAGCCAAUCCUGAAAGCAGGCCUCAGUUCAGAUUGCAGUCUGCAACUCGACUGCAUGAAGCCGGAGUUGCUAGUAACCGCAGGUCAGCAAUACUGCGGUGAAUACGUUCCCGGGUCUU